UACGGAGGGUGCGAGCGUUGUCCGGAAUCAUUGGGCGUAAAGGGCGCGUAGGUGGCCCGGUCAGUCUUUGGUGAAAGCGCGGGGCUCAACCCUGCGUCGGCCAGGGAUACUGCCGCGGCUCGAGCACUGUAGAGGCAGGCGGAAUUCCGGGUGUAGCGGUGGAAUGCGUAGAGAUCCGGAAGAACACCGGUGGCGAAGGCGGCGACCUGGUCCUUGACUGACGCUGAGGCGCGAAAGCGUGGGGAGCAAACAGG
This 254-nucleotide ribosomal RNA is filed under the name uncultured bacterium. RNAcentral's name for it is "partial 16S ribosomal RNA". It matches the Rfam family "Bacterial small subunit ribosomal RNA", at positions 524 to 776 of the family's 1533-position model. The record is from RNAcentral.